Molecule: transfer RNA, 73 nt
Filed under: Cricetulus griseus (Chinese hamster)
Lineage: Eukaryota; Metazoa; Chordata; Mammalia; Rodentia; Cricetidae
Rfam family: tRNA
About the family: Transfer RNA (tRNA) molecules are approximately 80 nucleotides in length. Their secondary structure includes four short double-helical elements and three loops (D, anti-codon, and T loops).
Source: Rfam by way of RNAcentral
GCCUGGCUAGCUCAGUUGAUAGAGCAUGAGACUCUUAAUUUCAGGGUUGUGGUUUCAUGCUCCAUGCUGAGUG